Drosophila montana is the source of this 2051-nucleotide RNA transcript. It is a transcript of the gene named cuticular protein 92F, with no coding region annotated. NCBI's taxonomy places the organism in Eukaryota, Metazoa, Arthropoda, Insecta, Diptera, Drosophilidae. The record is from RefSeq and is a predicted model, not a curated record. The transcript is spliced from 2 exons.
GCGACGAUGGCGACGUCGACGACGCGGCGCUUAAAUAAACCCCUCAAAAAAGCAUAGAUCAGUAAAGAAAAGGAGAUGGCGUCAGCGGCGGAGGUAGAGGUGGAGACGAGAUUGGCUUCCAUGUUGUCGCAAUGAUUGUGAUCUGUGUUUACUGCCCAGGCAGUGUAUGAGUGUGCGUGUGUGUGUGUGUGUGCGUAUGCUGCCAUUCAGUUUGCGCGACAGGGCAUAACGUAAAUAUUGACAGCCUAGCAGAACAUGAUUGUUGUAUUGAUAUCAAUGGGUCUUUGACCUUCCACAAAUGCAUCAACCUGCACCUAAGCCGAUCGCAUUGCCGUAGGCCCAGCAUUCGACCUAUUUACCUCAUUUCGAAGCACCCUAAGCGGCAACUUCCGGUUCCAUUAAUGUGUACUAAUGUCGGCUAAACAAAAACAACUUUUGAACAGACAGCCGCGACAACAACAAGAAGUGCUUUAAUAAUACGAUAUAAACAUUAGCAGCAGCUGCUGCAGCGGUCGCAACAACAAACUUUUCGUUCUCAAAUUAGUGUCAUUAUCACUGGUACACACAUUUACACACACACAUAGGCAUACACACGUACACGCAUACUCUGUAAACGGUGGCACCUCCGCUUUGACCUCCGUCCCAGGUUCAGCUUUGAAUUGAGUCUAAAUUCAAUCAAUUUAAUUUAAUUUCACAAAACAAUUGGACAGCACAAACAGACAGAACGGACUGGCAACCAAAGCUGGUUAAAUUUUGGUUGCUUCGCUGCGCUACACCCUACGAAAUGCGGCAUUUUAACAGCUGCAAUGGUUAGGUCGCUACAAUUCAAUUCCACAUAAGCUAAUCUACAAGGACAGGUUAUAUGUAAUUUUCAAGAUUCUACUAGCCGGAUUAAUUUAUUUAAUAAUAGUUAACUUAUUUAUGAGUUAAUUUGAAGGCCAAAUUCCCAUUAAGCUCAUCUGGAAUUUCACUGGAAAAAGUUUCUGCAAGUACAAAUUGCGCACACCGUGCGUAUACGUAAUUUCCAUCAGCGAAAAUGUCAAAUGUAUUUACUGCUUAUAUGCAUAAUCACUGGCCACGCAAACACUCACAUAUCUAAACACACACACACGCGAACAACUAGUUAAGUGAAUUAAAGCUACUUGCGAGGCGAAAAGAAAACUUGCCACUAAAUUGCCUUUCGACAUCAUUUUGGGUUUAGGUUAGUAUUACAAGAUUAUGCGGAUAAUUGCUGGCAUGCGAUGCCAUCUAAUAUGACGACACGCAGCUCAUGCUCAACAAAAUAGCCGACUCCCCAACCACCAACCCCCUGCCCCCUGCCCCAUCAACACUCAGACCACCUACCCAUCCAAUCAUUAUACAUAGAGUACAAGCCUAUGGGCAUUUUUUGUUGUUGCCGAGGUCCAUUUCUCCAUCUCGUAUCGCAUGAAUUUGUGUUUCAUGGACAGCAAACACGCGAAUUAGCUUAUGUAUGUGUGUGUGUGUUGCGCGUUUGUGUGUAUGUGUGUGAUUGUGGUUUACUCAUUUUGUGCGUGUCGCUGUGAGGUGCAUCUGUAGUUGUAUUCACUUUGAAUUGCCAUUGCCUCGUAUGCUAAUUUUAGCCUUAAACCUUUUAAUUAGCGACUAUGGCCGAGAUUGGAGAACAUGUCAAGCAGACACACACACACACACACACACACAUACACAUGUAUGUAAAUAGGUGGAAUGCACUGCAUAAUACUUGUAAUUGUUGUUGCUGCCAGUUGCCAGUUGCAAUUGCAGUCUCCGGCGCUAAAGUUAUAUAAUUGCCAGCCUUAUGGCUUUUAAUUUGGUUUGGCCAUUGUGUUCAUUUGAUCUCUAGUUCAAGAGCACAAUAAUCGAAUAAAUACAAACGAAUACAUCAUGUUUAUACAGAGGAAAACUGUGCCAUCAGGUUGUGCCAAAGUUGCUUGCCGCCGCGCUGCUCAUCUCGACGGUGUCCGCCUCUUGGCAUGGCGCUGUCUCCACACAGUACCAGCAUCUGGACCCUCAUAGCCACACCUAUUCGUACGGCUAUGCUGAUCCCAACUCAC